This is a long non-coding RNA of Telopea speciosissima, 432 nucleotides long. RefSeq lists it as uncharacterized. The record is from RefSeq and is a predicted model, not a curated record. The transcript has 2 exons. Lineage: Eukaryota; Viridiplantae; Streptophyta; Magnoliopsida; Proteales; Proteaceae.
CCUUUACGAGAUCUUCACAUGCUCUGCUUCAGUCAAGGAGAAGCAGGUCUGAGAGCAGGAAUAAACCCUCGACCAACAUUUUUUUUUCACGGAACUUCCACCAUUGACCAAGACGUCUUCUUUUAGCAGUAGAAGUUGUAAGCUGGGGAGAGUUGCAGAGGUUAUGGCAUUUGGGGUUUCCACUCAGCGUGGCCCUGUCAAACCCUGCUUCCCUCCUUCUAUAUGGUUCUCUUCAUCUUGCUGGCGCCACUCAAUUACGGUGGCUUCUUUUCUUGACGGAUUUUCGAUGUCCAGUAAAGCCUCUCACAGUGUUAUGGAUGGCUGGCAGGAAUCACACCAACUCCAGCAUGUUAAUAGUCCUCGUUGCAGUAUUGUUGUCUUUAGUAGUUUUCUUCAAUUUAAACGAGGUUCAAGUUAUUAUACUGGUUCAUC